Molecule: unclassified non-coding RNA, 24 nt
Filed under: Mus musculus (house mouse)
Lineage: Eukaryota; Metazoa; Chordata; Mammalia; Rodentia; Muridae
Description: oocyte_clustered_small_RNA13401
Source: RNAcentral
UUGUAGCUUACAGACAGGCAGGGU